GACGAACGCUGGCGGCGUGCUUAACACAUGCAAGUCGAGCGGUAAGGCCCUUUCGGGGGUACACGAGCGGCGAACGGGUGAGUAACACGUGGGUGACCUGCCCUCAGCUCUGGGAUAAGCCUGGGAAACUGGGUCUAAUACUGGAUAUGACUCCACGGUGCAUGUCGUGGGGUGGAAAGCCUUGUGCGGCUGAGGAUGGGCCCGCGGCCUAUCAGCUUGUUGGUGGGGUGANGGCCUACCAAGGCGACGACGGGUAGCCGGCCUGAGAGGGCGACCGGCCACACUGGGACUGAGACACGGCCCAGACUCCUACGGGAGGCAGCAGUGGGGAAUCUUGCGCAAUGGGCGAAAGCCUGACGCAGCGACGCCGCGUGAGGGAUGACGGCCUCGGUUGUAAC
This 398-nucleotide ribosomal RNA is filed under the name uncultured bacterium. RNAcentral's name for it is "bacterial SSU rRNA". It matches the Rfam family "Bacterial small subunit ribosomal RNA", at positions 28 to 429 of the family's 1533-position model. The record is from RNAcentral.